GCCGGCGUGGCGGAAUGGCAUACGCGCUCGACUCAAAAUCGAGUGGGGUGACCCCCCAUGCGGGUUCGACUCCCGCCGCCGGCACCA
Molecule: transfer RNA, 87 nt
Filed under: Limnochordaceae bacterium
Lineage: Bacteria; Bacillati; Bacillota; Limnochordia; Limnochordales; Limnochordaceae
Also listed under: 1 other name
Description: tRNA-Leu
Rfam family: tRNA
About the family: Transfer RNA (tRNA) molecules are approximately 80 nucleotides in length. Their secondary structure includes four short double-helical elements and three loops (D, anti-codon, and T loops).
Source: RNAcentral